This 458-nucleotide ribosomal RNA is filed under the name uncultured bacterium. Its description in RNAcentral is "partial 16S ribosomal RNA". It matches the Rfam family "Bacterial small subunit ribosomal RNA", at positions 338 to 795 of the family's 1533-position model. The record is from RNAcentral.
CCUACGGGAGGCAGCAGUGAGGAAUAUUGGUCAAUGGGCGAGAGCCUGAACCAGCCAAGUCGCGUGAGGGAGUACUGCCCUAUGGGUUGUAAACCUCUUUUGUCGGGGAGCAAAAGCCGGACGUUUCCGGCUGUGAGAGUACCCGAAGAAAAAGCAUCGGCAAACCCCGUGCCAGCAGCCGCGGUAAUACGGAGGAUGCGAGCGUUAUCCGGAUUUAUUGGGUUUAAAGGGUGCGCAGGCGGAUUUUUAAGUCAGCGGUCAAAUCGUGGGGCUCAACCCCAUCCAGCCGUUGAAACUGGGGGUCUAGAGUGGGCGAGAGGUAUGCGGAAUGCGUGGUGUAGCGGUGAAAUGCAUAGAUAUCACGCAGAACCCCGAUUGCGAAGGCAGCAUACCGGUGCACAACUGACGCUCAGGCACGAAAGCGUGGGUAUCGAACAGGAUUAGAUACCCCUGUAGUC